CCUUUGGAGAGUUAUAUCAAACUGAAGUAGCGUUUAGCAAAACAAGACUCGAUGAACAAGGAA
RNAcentral lists this non-coding RNA (63 nucleotides) under unclassified sequences. RNAcentral's name for it is "RAGATH-18 RNA". It matches the Rfam family "RAGATH-18 RNA". Rfam says of the family: Actinobacteria, Firmicutes, Fusobacteria, Thermotogae (1 example). The record is from Rfam by way of RNAcentral.